AUUGAACGCUGGCGGCAGGCCUAACACAUGCAAGUCGAGCGGAUGAAGGGAGCUUGCUCCUGGAUUCAGCGGCGGACGGGUGAGUAAUGCCUAGGAAUCUGCCUGGUAGUGGGGGAUAACGUCCGGAAACGGGCGCUAAUACCGCAUACGUCCUGAGGGAGAAAGUGGGGGAUCUUCGGACCUCACGCUAUCAGAUGAGCCUAUGUCGGAUUAGCUAGUUGGUGGGGUAAAGGCCUACCAAGGCGACGAUCCGUAACUGGUCUGAGAGGAUGAGCAGGCACACUGGAACUUAGACACCGGCCCGACCCCUAAGGGAGGCCGCCGGGGGGAAUAUUGGAAAAUGGGCGCAAACCUUAACCAGCCCUACCGGGUGGGUUAAAAAGGGUUUCGGGUUUUAAAACCCUUUUAUGUUGGAAGAAAGGCAACAAGUUAAAACCCUUGUUUUUUUACGGUUCCCAAAAAAUAAGCACCCGCCAACCUCGUG
This 484-nucleotide ribosomal RNA is filed under the name uncultured bacterium. Its description in RNAcentral is "partial 16S ribosomal RNA". It matches the Rfam family "Bacterial small subunit ribosomal RNA", at positions 30 to 507 of the family's 1533-position model. The record is from RNAcentral.